UACGUAGGGGGCAAGCGUUGUCCGGAUUUACUGGGCGUAAAGCGCGCGUAGGCGGAAGCUCAAGUCUGGCCUGAAAGCCCCCGGCUCAACCGGGGAGUGGGGCUGGAAACUGGGUUUCUUGAGGGCGAUAGAGGAGUGUGGAAUUCCUGGUGUAGCGGUGAAAUGCGUAGAGAUCAGGAGGAACACCGGUGGCGAAGGCGGUGGUCUGGGCCGGUACUGACGCUGAGGAGCGAAAGCGUGGGGAGCGAACAGG
This 253-nucleotide ribosomal RNA is filed under the name uncultured bacterium. RNAcentral's name for it is "partial 16S ribosomal RNA". It matches the Rfam family "Bacterial small subunit ribosomal RNA", at positions 524 to 776 of the family's 1533-position model. The record is from RNAcentral.